GCCAGCAGCCAUAUCAUCCUGCAGCUCUCAACUGGCUACCCACUAAGGCUAAGCAUGGUUGAACCUGCUCAGUACCUGGAUGUGAGAUCUCCUGGGAAGCCAUGGUUACUGCUGGAA
Molecule: ribosomal RNA, 117 nt
Filed under: Lepisosteus oculatus (spotted gar)
Lineage: Eukaryota; Metazoa; Chordata; Actinopteri; Semionotiformes; Lepisosteidae
Source: RNAcentral